RNAcentral lists this ribosomal RNA (587 nucleotides) under Ophelimus maskelli. RNAcentral's name for it is "partial large subunit ribosomal RNA". It matches the Rfam family "Eukaryotic large subunit ribosomal RNA", at positions 295 to 633 of the family's 3401-position model. The record is from RNAcentral. Lineage: Eukaryota; Metazoa; Arthropoda; Insecta; Hymenoptera; Eulophidae.
CAUGGUGUACUCCAUCUAGGCUAAAUAUGACCACGAGACCGAUUAGCGAACAAGUACCGUGAGGGAAAGUUGAAAAGAACUUUUGAAGAGAGAGUUCAAGAGUACGUGAAACCGUUCAGGGGUAAACCUGAGAAACCCAAAAGAUCGAAUGGGGAGAUUCAUCGUCAGCGGCGUUGGCUUCCGUGCGGCUCGCGAUGGCCGGGACCUCGGUCUCGUGUCACGCGGUCGCUGCGGUAUGUCCGGCGUCGUCGGCGUGCACUUCUCCCCUAGUAGGACGUCGCGACCCGUUGGGUGUCGGACCGAUGGUCGCUUGGUCGACUGUCCCGUCUCGUUCACGCGUGCACGGGGCAGACCAACGUGGCCGAUAGUCCGGCUGCCCGGCGGUAUAGAACGCUUUUGAACGGUAUCGAGCCGCAUUAAGUGCGUUCAGGCUCGUCGGCAGGCUCGUCUCGCUCGGAUUUACGGACCUGGUGCCGUUGCCGGGUGCUUGGCGGGCCGUUAGUCGACGAUGUCCUCGGACUGGCUCUUGAUUUUCGACUACCGGUCGGCGACGCUACUGCUUUGGGUACUUUCAGCCCCGCGUUUUA